AUGAGGCGAACCGGGGGAACUGAAACAUCUAAGUACCCCGAGGAAAAGAAAUCAACCGAGAUUCCCCCAGUAGCGGCGAGCGAACGGGGAGGAGCCCAGAGCCUGAAUCAGUGUGUGUGUUAGUGGAAGCGUCUGGAAAGGCGCGCGAUACAGGGUGACAGCCCCGUACACAAAAAUGCACAUGCUGUGAGCUCGAUGAGUAGGGCGGGACACGUGGUAUCCUGUCUGAAUAUGGGGGGACCAUCCUCCAAGGCUAAAUACUCCUGACUGACCGAUAGUGAACCAGUACCGUGAGGGAAAGGCGAAAAGAACCCCGGCGAGGGGAGUGAAAAAGAACCUGAAACCGUGUACGUACAAGCAGUGGGAGCACGCUUAGGCGUGUGACUGCGUACCUUUUGUAUAAUGGGUCAGCGACUUAUAUUCUGUAGCAAGGUUAACCGAAUAGGGGAGCCGAAGGGAAACCGAGUCUUAACUGGGCGUUAAGUUGCAGGGUAUAGACCCGAAACCCGGUGAUCUAGCCAUGGGCAGGUUGAAGGUUGGGUAACACUAACUGGAGGACCGAACCGACUAAUGUUGAAAAAUUAGCGGAUGACUUGUGGCUGGGGGUGAAAGGCCAAUCAAACCGGGAGAUAGCUGGUUCUCCCCGAAAGCUAUUUAGGUAGCGCCUCGUGAAUUCAUCUCCGGGGGUAGAGCACUGUUUCGGCAAGGGGGUCAUCCCGACUUACCAACCCGAUGCAAACUGCGAAUACCGGAGAAUGUUAUCACGGGAGACACACGGCGGGUGCUAACGUCCGUCGUGAAGAGGGAAACAACCCAGACCGCCAGCUAAGGUCCCAAAGUCAUGGUUAAGUGGGAAACGAUGUGGGAAGGCCCAGACAGCCAGGAUGUUGGCUUAGAAGCAGCCAUCAUUUAAAGAAAGCGUAAUAGCUCACUGGUCGAGUCGGCCUGCGCGGAAGAUGUAACGGGGCUAAACCAUGCAC
RNAcentral lists this ribosomal RNA (980 nucleotides) under Escherichia coli. Its description in RNAcentral is "partial 23S ribosomal RNA". It matches the Rfam family "Bacterial large subunit ribosomal RNA", at positions 174 to 1194 of the family's 2925-position model. Lineage: Bacteria; Pseudomonadati; Pseudomonadota; Gammaproteobacteria; Enterobacterales; Enterobacteriaceae. The record is from RNAcentral.